AUGGCAGUGGCGAGUACCUCUUCGGCUCUCCGGCUCCUGCCUCUCCUCCUCGCACUCCUACUCGCUGCCACCAGCGAGGCCACCACAUUCAAAAUCAUCAACCAAUGCUCCUACACCGUGUGGCCAGCCGCUCUACCGGGAGGUGGCGUGAAGCUUGAUCCGGGGGAGACGUGGGCGUUGAACAUGCCCGCUGGUACCUCAACAGGGCGCAUCUGGGCACGCACAGGCUGCUCACUCCUUGGCAAAGGUGGGUCAUGCCAAACUGGCGACUGCAGCGGCUUGCUCGCCUGUACGGUCAGUACUCGAUCGCCCAUCACGCUGGGCGAGUUCAGUCUUGCCCAAGGCCAAAGUGAUGAUGAUUUCUUCGACAUCUCGCUCAUUGAUGGCUUCAACGUGCCCAUGGACUUCCUGCCGGUGCCGGUUCAGGGAAGGUCAGGAUGCAGCAAGGGGCCGCGUUGUGCAGCCAACAUCACAUCGCAGUGCCCAAGAGAGCUGAAGGCUCCAGGAGGGUGUAACAAUCCCUGUACUGGGAGCACGACAAGCCGUUGCAACACAAGUUACUCAGCCUUCUUUAAGCAGAUGUGCCCAUAUGCCUACAGCAAGCCUGAUGAUACAUCCACUUACUCUUGCCCGUCGGGCACAAAGUACCAGGUCAUCUUCUGUCCCCUGAUUAAUCAAACACUCUCACCUACAGAUGAAAGUCCCCUGCCUGCACCCCCGGCCAAGGCAACACCUUCGACCCCAAGUACUCUGCCUACAGCUAUUGGGCCAACAAGCAUGAAACCUAAAUCCCCCUCUGGAAGAAGAGUUGUUGCAAUUCUAGCUCCUGUAGGCGGCUUAAUUUUGCUCACCAUCUUGUUCCUCAUCGCCUUCUUUAUAUGUAAACGAAGAACACAACAACAACAUGAGAUGGAAGAAGAGGAAGAGUUUGGGGAGCUAGAAGGAACACCAAUGAGGUUCACAUUUCAACAGCUAAGAGCAGCAACCGAGCAAUUUGCAGACAAGCUCGGGGAAGGAGGAUUCGGGUCUGUUUUCAAGGGACAGUUUGGUGGUGAAAGGAUUGCAGUAAAACGUUUGGAUCGAACUGGUCAGGGCAAAAGAGAAUUUUCGGCAGAAGUUCAGACAAUUGGCAGCAUUCAUCAUAUUAAUCUGGUGAGAUUGAUUGGUUUCUGUGCAGAGAAAUCCCACAGGCUCUUGGUAUAUGAGUACAUGCCCAAAGGAUCCUUGGACAGAUGGAUCUAUUGUUGA
Molecule: ribosomal RNA, 1248 nt
Filed under: Triticum aestivum (bread wheat)
Lineage: Eukaryota; Viridiplantae; Streptophyta; Magnoliopsida; Poales; Poaceae
Description: partial small subunit ribosomal RNA
Source: RNAcentral